GGUCACCUUUGGCUAAUAUUGCCUUGACUGUAAAAUAUUUGAUAGAACCACAGUGGUUGGUACAACCGUGGUCAUAGAUCGUACCAUGAUUUGGAAAGCUAGAAAUAUGCUUGAAUAAAUUGUUGUUAUCUGUAUCUGAUCUGGUCAUUCCACAUGUGUAGUCGAAAAUCCGUAUCUACCCUUAGGGAUAAAAGUCAGAACGACUUCAC
RNAcentral lists this long non-coding RNA (209 nucleotides) under Carica papaya (papaya). Its description in RNAcentral is "long non-coding RNA (CPAP_LNC007195)". The record is from RNAcentral. Lineage: Eukaryota; Viridiplantae; Streptophyta; Magnoliopsida; Brassicales; Caricaceae.